RNAcentral lists this ribosomal RNA (1154 nucleotides) under uncultured fungus. RNAcentral's name for it is "eukaryotic LSU rRNA". The stretch from base 535 to 1154 matches the Rfam family "Eukaryotic large subunit ribosomal RNA", at positions 1 to 649 of the family's 3401-position model. Lineage: Eukaryota; Fungi. The record is from RNAcentral.
AAGUCGUAACAAGGUUUCCGUAGGUGAACCUGCGGAAGGAUCAUUAUCGAGAUAGGGUCCUUCGGGGCCCGACCUCCAACCCUUUGUCUACCUUACCACUGUUGCCUCGGCGGGUCGCCGGCGCCCUUAGCGGGGCGUCGCCGUCGGCCUCUGCGCUCUCGAGUGCCCGCCGCCAGGCCCUAUUAAACCCUUUAAACUUAGUCUUCUGAGAGUAUAUUUAAUACUUCAAAACUUUCAACAACGGAUCUCUUGGAUCUGGCAUCGAUGAAGAACGCAGCGAAAUGCGAUAAGUAAUGUGAAUUGCAGAAUUCAGUGAAUCAUCGAAUCUUUGAACGCACAUUGCGCCCCUUGGUAUUCCGAGGGGCAUGCCUGUUCGAGCGUCAUUUUCAACCAUCAAGCCUAGCUUGNNAUUGGGCGCCGUCCCCCCGGGACUCGCCCUAAAGUGNNCGGCGGUGGCCCCGAGCCUCAAGCGUAGUACAAUCUCCAGCUUCAGAGGUCUCGGCGGCUUGCCCCUAGAACCCAUCACCUAAAGGUUGACCUCGGAUCAGGUAGGGAUACCCGCUGAACUUAAGCAUAUCAAUAAGCGGAGGAAAAGAAACCAACAGGGAUUGCCCUAGUAACGGCGAGUGAAGCGGCAACAGCUCAAAUUUGAAAUCUGGCCCCUUCGGGGUCCGAGUUGUAAUUUGUAGAGGAUGCUUCGGCGUAGGCCUCGGGCUAGGUCCCUUGGAACAGGGCGUCAUAGAGGGUGAGAACCCCGUCUUUGCCUGAGACCCCUUCGCCAUGUGAAGCUCCUUCGACGAGUCGAGUUGUUUGGGAAUGCAGCUCUAAGUGGGAGGUAAAUUUCUUCUAAAGCUAAAUAACGGCCAGAGACCGAUAGCGCACAAGUAGAGUGAUCGAAAGAUGAAAAGCACUUUGGAAAGAGAGUUAAAAAGCACGUGAAAUUGUUGAAAGGGAAGCUCUUGCUACCAGACUUGCCCGCGGUUGCUCAACCUUACGGUGUACUCUUCCGCGGGCAGGCCAGCAUCAGUUUGGGCGGCCGGAUAAAGGCUCUAGGAAUGUGGCCCCUCCGGGGGUGUUAUAGCCUAGAGUGCAAUGCGGCCAGCCCGGACUGAGGACCGCUUUAUAGGAUGCUGGCGUAAUGGUCGUAAGCGACC